This 251-nucleotide small nuclear RNA is filed under the name Equus caballus (horse). RNAcentral describes it as "7SK RNA". It matches the Rfam family "7SK RNA", at positions 1 to 288 of the family's 331-position model. Rfam says of the family: 7SK was discovered as an abundant small nuclear RNA in the mid-70s but a possible function has only recently been suggested. Two independent studies have found that 7SK RNA binds the CDK9/cyclin T complex (known as elongation factor P-TEFb). Lineage: Eukaryota; Metazoa; Chordata; Mammalia; Perissodactyla; Equidae. The record is from Rfam by way of RNAcentral.
GGAUUUGAAUAAGCUGGCUGUGAUGCCAGCUAUCUCAAGGACUGCCAGGAUCAAUUUGGCUGCUCUGGUGGGCUGAGUGUCCUAAGCGUUUUAUCCAUUCUCAUGGCUUUGUGCAGGUGCAUUUUUCAAAAAGAAAAGGAGUUAUUCAGUCACGUGUAUAACAAUGGUCCUCUCCUUCUAGAGCCUCUAAACAAACCAUUACAGAUCAUUUGUAUGAGAAGAAAAGUUCAUCAGGCUUCUAAGAUGUGAAU